Molecule: long non-coding RNA, 363 nt
Organism: Haliotis rubra (blacklip abalone)
Lineage: Eukaryota; Metazoa; Mollusca; Gastropoda; Lepetellida; Haliotidae
Exons: 3
Source: RefSeq, a predicted model, not a curated record
AGUUAUGUUUUAUACUUCAUUUUAUUCUCAUGCCAUAGCUCUGCAUAGUAAGCCUAGUAACUCUCAGUCUCACCUCCACUAAUUGUCACACUGCAUGCUUACAACACUCCUUGCCCCAGCCCUCAGUCAGUUCUAUUGUUUCACUGAUAGGCCAAGCUGGCCAUAGCUUAAACUACAAUGUAAAGAUUUUAAACUCACAUGCUGUCCUGUACUUCGUAAGGAAGGUUACCUUUACAACCAGGGGAUCUUUAUAAGGAUUUUAGAUCUGUGUUCAUUCAGGAGAAUAUCCUCCCUAAACAGCUUGGGUACAACCAACCUGGCUUUUUAACACGAUCUUCCAGAAUAAAUGUAUCGGCCUCACAA